This 322-nucleotide ribosomal RNA is filed under the name uncultured bacterium. Its description in RNAcentral is "bacterial SSU rRNA". It matches the Rfam family "Bacterial small subunit ribosomal RNA", at positions 28 to 334 of the family's 1533-position model. The record is from RNAcentral.
GACGAACGCUGGCGGCGUGCCUAAUACAUGCAAGUCGAACGAACGGAUUGAGGAGCUUGCUCUUCAUGAAGUUAGUGGCGGACGGGUGAGUAACACGUGGGUAACCUGCCCUUCAGUGGGGGAUAACAUCCGGAAACGGGUGCUAAUACCGCAUAGUUUCUUUUUCCGCCUGGAAGAAGAAGGAAAGAUGGCCUUUGCGCUAUCACUGAGGGAUGGACCCGCGGCGUAUUAGUUAGUUGGUGGGGUAAUGGCCUACCAAGACGAUGAUACGUAGCCGACCUGAGAGGGUGAUCGGCCACAUUGGGACUGAGACACGGCCCAA